Molecule: ribosomal RNA, 411 nt
Filed under: uncultured Clostridium sp.
Lineage: Bacteria; Bacillati; Bacillota; Clostridia; Eubacteriales; Clostridiaceae
Description: bacterial SSU rRNA
Rfam family: Bacterial small subunit ribosomal RNA
Source: RNAcentral
GGCGGACGGGUGAGAAACACGUGGCUAACCUGGCUCAAAGAGGGGGAUAGCCUUCCGAAAGGAAGAUUAGUACCGCAUAAGCUUACAGCAUCGCAUGAUGCCGUAAGAAAAGGAGUAAUCCGCUUUGAGAUGGACCCGCGGCGCAUUAGCUAGUUGGUGAGGUAACGGCUCACCAAGGCCACGAUGCGUAGCCGACCUGAGAGGGUGAUCGGCCACAUUGGAACUGAGACACGGUCCAGACUCCUACGGGAGGCAGCAGUGGGGAAUAUUGCACAAUGGGCGAAAGCCUGAUGCAGCAACGCCGCGUGAGUGAUGAAGGCUUUCGAGUCGUAAAGCUCUUUGAUCAGGGACGAUAAUGACGGUACCUGAAAAACAAGCCACGGCUAACUACGUGCCAGCAGCCGCGGUAAU